AGUGGGGAAUCUUCCACAAUGGGCGCAAGCCUGAUGGAGCAACGCCGCGUGAAUGAAGAAGGCCUUAGGGUCGUAAAGUUCUGUCCUUAGGGAAGAACCGUGGGUAUAGCAAAUGAUACCCACCUGACGGUACCUUUGGAGGAAGCACUGGCUAACUACGUGCCAGCAGCCGCGGUAAUACGUAGAGUGCAAGCGUUGUCCGGAAUUAUUGGGCGUAAAGGGUACGCAGGCGGAUAGUAAAGUCAAGCGUGAAAGGUGUCGGCUUAACCGACAGACUGCGUUUGAAACUGAUUAUCUUGAGUGUAACAGAGGAGAGUGGAAUUCCUAGUGUAGUGGUGAAAUACGUAGAUAUUAGGAAGAACACCAGUGGCGAAGGCGACUCUCUGGGUUAACACUGACGCUGAGGUACGAAAGCUGGGGGAGCGAACGGGAUUAGAUACCCCGGUAGUCCCAGCCGUAAACGAUGGAUACUAGGUGUUGGAGGUUCGAAUCCUUCAGUGCCGGAGUUAACGCAUUAAGUAUCCCGCCUGGGGAUUACGAUCGCAAGAU
RNAcentral lists this ribosomal RNA (549 nucleotides) under uncultured bacterium. RNAcentral's name for it is "bacterial SSU rRNA". It matches the Rfam family "Bacterial small subunit ribosomal RNA", at positions 353 to 894 of the family's 1533-position model. The record is from RNAcentral.